Schizosaccharomyces pombe (fission yeast) is the source of this 683-nucleotide non-coding RNA. The record is from the annotation of a GenBank genome assembly. NCBI's taxonomy places the organism in Eukaryota, Fungi, Ascomycota, Schizosaccharomycetes, Schizosaccharomycetales, Schizosaccharomycetaceae.
UUUGAAUAAGAGGAUGUCCAGCAACUCUACAUAAUAAUGUAUUAGUUUUUGUGCAAUUUAAAACGCUCUUUGGGGCAAUAAGGCAAAAUUAACAUUCAAUACUUACAGUCGUAAAAAAUUUUCCAAACCUUGUCUACGUUCUUCGAUAACAUCAUCUCUAAAUCUUUGAGUGAAUAUCUUUCCUGGAAGUGGUGGAAUUGAAACACGACCGGACUCUCUUUCAAGCAUAUCGUGAAAUUUCUCGAAUUCGCUGUAACGUCGACGAACGCUAGAAUUAUGUAGACGAAAAUAGGGCAUAUUGGUCUACAAAAAUGAGUUAAUAAUCUGCUAUCAGAAGAUGAAUUUCAGUGGUACCUACCCGACAAACAAUUUCAUAAGUAGUAAACAUGUUUCUUCCAAUACCGUGAGUUUGUGGAUUUAUAACCUAAAAUAACAUCUAUUAGAAAUAUUUCGAAAUAAUAAAGUAAACAUACAUCAAUUUCAAGGAUGUUUUCAGGAACAUCAUACAUUUGUUGAGUAGUUUGCUGCCUGAUUUCCGGUCUACUUAAUUUAUCCAUUUAUUUACCCUUAUUACUCUUAAGAGCGAUAUCCAAUAUUAUUUUACUGUUUAACAAGUAAUAGUUGAAAUUUUGAAGAAGUUUAAAAGUUUCGAUACAAGGUGUAGUGUCUAGCUCAGAUACGGG